RNAcentral lists this long non-coding RNA (698 nucleotides) under Dromaius novaehollandiae (emu). RNAcentral describes it as "lncRNA (ENSDNVG00000014148.1)". Lineage: Eukaryota; Metazoa; Chordata; Aves; Casuariiformes; Dromaiidae. The record is from RNAcentral.
UCUCUUCUUUGGAAUUAAUAAUAUGAUUCACUCAAGCAGACYUUCCUUGUAGGUCUUGUUAUCUAGACCCUUGAGCGUUCCCAGUGUUCUUCUCUGGACCUUCCCAAUUGGGAUCCUCGGCUUCAAACUGCACAGCACCCAACACUGGACACAGCACACCAGCUGGAGCCUUCCUGGGAUGACAAAAGUGGAAGAAUUGCUUGCAAUGUGCUACAGCCUGCACUCCUGUUCCUGCAUCCUUGUGUGGUAUUUAGCUUCUUUGCGUGACAUUGGUAGCUUCUAUAAGCUUAUAGAUAUCACCUGCAGCACGACUUCAAACAGCAAGCACUUAAGCUUUGAAAGCUAAAUAUUAAGCAGAGGCUCACAUUUUUACUAGACAUGAUGCAAUUUCAAUGAUCAACUGCACUGAAUAUGCAGCUUCACAUGUCUGAAAGCAGGAACAGCCAGGAGUGAGACAGAGGAUUUAUGAUGGAAAAUUUUGAAAAUUCGUCAUGGAAGGCUGUUUACAGAGAAGCAUUGGUGAAGAAAUUGCCAUGUCACCAACUUCAGUCCUUCUAGAUUCCCUUCAUAGUCAAAGAAGAGGAACUGACCUACCUAAGCAUGGUCAUCAGAUGACUCAUGACCUUGAUGUACCCAUUACUCUCCACAGACUAUACAGAACCUCUAAACAACCAGUUGAGAAAAAUGGAAAACCAUAA